ACGCCGGUAGCUCAAUUGGUAGAGCAGCCGUCUCCAAAGCGGCAGGUUGCGGGUUCGAUUCCCUCCCGGCGUG
RNAcentral lists this transfer RNA (73 nucleotides) under Phycisphaerae bacterium. RNAcentral describes it as "tRNA-Trp". It matches the Rfam family "tRNA". From Rfam's summary of the family: Transfer RNA (tRNA) molecules are approximately 80 nucleotides in length. Their secondary structure includes four short double-helical elements and three loops (D, anti-codon, and T loops). Further hydrogen bonds mediate the characteristic L-shaped molecular structure. tRNAs have two regions of fundamental functional importance: the anti-codon, which is responsible for specific mRNA codon recognition, and the 3' end, to which the tRNAs corresponding amino acid is attached (by aminoacyl-tRNA synthetases). tRNAs cope with the degeneracy of the genetic code in two manners: having more than one tRNA (with a specific anti-codon) for a particular amino acid; and 'wobble' base-pairing, i.e. permitting non-standard base-pairing at the 3rd anti-codon position. Lineage: Bacteria; Pseudomonadati; Planctomycetota; Phycisphaerae. The record is from RNAcentral.